UAAGUACUCCCUCCGUCUAGAAAUACUUGUCCUCAAAAUGAUUAUAUUUAGAUUUAUUUUAGUUAUAGAUAUAUCCAUUUUAUUCAUUUCUAGGACAAGUAUUUUCGAACGGAGGGAGUAAUUA
Molecule: non-coding RNA, 124 nt
Organism: Triticum aestivum (bread wheat)
Lineage: Eukaryota; Viridiplantae; Streptophyta; Magnoliopsida; Poales; Poaceae
Source: Rfam